Molecule: long non-coding RNA, 513 nt
Filed under: Nicotiana benthamiana
Lineage: Eukaryota; Viridiplantae; Streptophyta; Magnoliopsida; Solanales; Solanaceae
Description: long non-coding RNA (NBEN_LNC022906)
Source: RNAcentral
GUUGAAACUGGGGCAAAGGUUUUAUUUCACUGUUGAAGAGUCGACUCCAAGAGUUGUAUGUCCAUAACCCCUCAUUUUAUGUCUACUUUGAGCCUUCAUGCUGACCUUUCUUUCCAACCCUAUCAAAAAUCUUUCCAAUAAGACCUCCUGAUAUGCCUUCAAGAAUGGCAAGAUAAGCAUGCAAUGAGCAACGAUUUUCACGCGACAUAAAACACUGUCAAAUUAUUCGCACAAGAAAUCAAAAGAAAAAGGAAAAUAAAGAAGAAAAUGAGAGAGUCUUACUAGUGAAAACCUUCACGGGCGCUGCAAGGCCACUGUAAGUAGAGAUGAAUAAAUGAGAGAGACUUGUUGGUGAAAACCCCUCGAGGCACCACUAAUCGAAAGUGAGUCAUGAAGCUAAUGCAAAUGUUACGGACGACACUAUUUUCGCCCCAAAACAGGCUCAAAACAGCUCCAAAAUGCUUCCGGAACAGUCCAGCGUGCCCCGGAAGGCCCUGGAAGACUCUAGACCCC